Molecule: ribosomal RNA, 302 nt
Filed under: uncultured bacterium
Lineage: Bacteria
Description: partial 16S ribosomal RNA
Rfam family: Bacterial small subunit ribosomal RNA
Source: RNAcentral
GCAGCCGCCGCGGGAAAACGUAGGUGGCAAGCGUUGUCCGGAAUUAUUGGGCGUAAAGGGCUCGCAGGCGGUUUCUUAAGUCUGAUGUGAAAGCCCCCGGCUCAACCGGGGAGGGUCAUUGGAAACUGGGAAACUUGAGUGCAGAAGAGGAGAGUGGAAUUCCACGUGUAGCGGUGAAAUGCGUAGAGAUGUGGAGGAACACCAGUGGCGAAGGCGACUCUCUGGUCUGUAACUGACGCUGAGGGCGAAAGCGUGGGGAGCGAACAGGAUUAGAUACCCCGGUAGUCCCUGUCUCUUAUACA